Non-coding RNA from Gossypium raimondii (Peruvian cotton), 145 nucleotides. The record is from Rfam. Lineage: Eukaryota; Viridiplantae; Streptophyta; Magnoliopsida; Malvales; Malvaceae.
UGUUAAAAAUUUCAUCAAUUUAUACUAUUAAAAGCUUACGUGACUAAUAAAAUAACAAAACAAUAGCACAUGUUAUGCCGCAUAUAUCUCAUACUGACACAUAAAAACUAAUUUUUAACAACAAAAAUAGAUGAAACUUUUAACA